This 274-nucleotide ribosomal RNA is filed under the name uncultured bacterium. Its description in RNAcentral is "partial 16S ribosomal RNA". It matches the Rfam family "Archaeal small subunit ribosomal RNA", at positions 473 to 747 of the family's 1478-position model. The record is from RNAcentral.
UUACCCGCUCCGCGAGUGGUGGGGACUUUUACUGGGCUUAAAGCGCCCGUAGCCGGCUGGGUGUGUCCUCCGUUAAAUCCACAGGCCUAACCUGUGGGCUGCGGGGGAUACUACCCGGCUUGGGGGUGGGAGAGGGCGGCGGUAUUCCCGGGGUAGGGGUAAAAUCCACUGAUCCCGGGAGGACCACCAGUGGCGAAGGCGGCCGCCCAGAACACGCCCGACGGUGAGGGGCGAAAGCUGGGGGAGCAAACGGGAUUAGAUACCCUUGUAGUCC